ACGAUGUUUAUGUCAAUGUGUGUGUGUGUGUGUCGCAUAUCAGUUCAGCUUUCCAUGCGAGUAGAUAAAUUACCCAAGAGUUUCAUCUUUUAACACUCUAAACUUUGAAUCUUUCCCGCUCAUUCUGAUUGAUAUUUGAAACCACGGAGGAAUUUAGAAAUGUUCGAAACUACCUUGUUAAGAAUCCGGCAUUUUCACCAUAGCAACAGCAUAACGACGCUCAAAUUCCGUUAUGACUUUUUGUUUUUGUCUGACCUCCAUAACUAUUAGGAGUCCGUUUGAACUAUUUUCUUGAUGCUCACCCCCUUUUUUUAGGCUUUUUAGGAACGUUUUUUUAUUUUACAGAAAUACAACUUUUUGCUCCUCCUGAAUUUCGAAACCACCGUCAUCUCCAAACUCCCCGACAUGAUUCACUCAACUUAAGACAGGCUUGUUUCCAUGACGACCUCUGAUCCUUGCGGUUCUCUGAGGACGCCGCACUGCUGAAGACGGGUGAAUCCGUAUUGAAAGCGCAGCUUCUUCCGCAGCGCUGUUUCAGCCAUGGCACCGACUAGUUUGCCAACUCCAAAGCCCCCAGUCACAUCCCGAAGCAAGACGCACCGAACUGAGGUGAAGAUGUCUAUAGUGAACAUAUGUGGCCCUUUCUCCACUGAACUUUUAAGUCGGAAUCAACAGAUCAGCCCAUCCCACCAAAGCUUCUCAGAAAAUGGACAACAGCCGGAAAAGAGAUCUAUCGAAGUCAGCAGGCGAUUUGAGGAACUGCAAACAUCCAGAACAGCAAGUUCUACCAAAAUUCCAACCCAAUGGAUAGAAAUCACUUAAACAUUUUAAAGGCUAUUAAUGCCUGAAAUGUCUCCAAUGCAUCUUAAUUAGGAUAAUUAUGCAAAUAAGAGUGAAUCUAAUUAAUUGCUAGUAAUUCUAAAUGCUCGAUGGUACUUAGCAACACCAAUUACUAAGCUUAGGAGACACUUUUUCACCAAGAGUGAAGUUGAUUUGAGUAGUUUUAUUUCAUCUUACUGAAAUCAGUUAAAGCUGCUCUUUGCAUUUACUGAGAUUAUCUCCUUUUUUGAUGAUAUGAAACACUUAAGUGUGGGGAAAAACCCCCAAGAAGAAAUCUGUAAGGAGAGAAAUGGCUCAAGGUCAUCUAUUUCUGUUCUCGGUGUGGUUCACCAAAUACUUCUCCACUGCACUUUUUCCUUGAGCAGUUUUUGAUGAAGCUAAGAUCCAUAUCCUUGAACAAUUCUUCUUUUUUUGCUGUUAGCUCUUCUAAGCUCUUAAUUAAUUAGAUUACAUUUACCUGAAAUAGAUAGUAAAAAAAAAUCUACCACUAAGAGAGAAUCAGUGGUAAUUGUAUGCCAGUUUGAGAACAAUUGAAAGUCCUUAGUUUCAUUUUAGGAAAAAAAAUAAAUACUCCAGACAUUUACUGGUUUGCAUUUCCAUUUCAUAUGACAUAUAUUUCUUUCAGAUGGUGUCAAACUUCAACAGCGUUUCCAGGACUCGUUCAUCCAAAUGCAUUCACUGCGCAGAAAGGCCGUCUUCCGCUGAACUGAAGAACUGUCUAAUCAUCUCGUCUCUGCAGCUUCACUCAAAGAAAAAAGCAGAUAUCCAUUAAAGCUUUUCUCUCUACCAGUAAACCAGAAAUACUUUAUUCUGUUCUGCUGCGACAUCUGAACUACUGACUGAUACAGAAUCUCUUUAGCAGUCCAGCAUUUCUGAAACCUCGGACCUCAGGUUUAAAGUGUAUUUUCAUGAGAUAGCAGAGAAAGUGCUAAAGUGUAGAGUAAUACAACAUUGCCCCUGUAGCUUUUGCUGCUGCACACUGCCACCCAGCAGGCAGAAAGAAGCAAUAGGACACUGUACUCAUGCUUACUAAAAAGACAAAUUUGUUGUUUGGAAAUAUUAACAAUUGCAAAAAAAAAAAAAGAAAAAAAAAGAUCUAAGACAGUCUAGGAGUGAAAACUAAGUAACCAUCUAUAGCUUCUUUUUUUAAAACAGCAUUUCUGUUAAGCAGUUCACUGCAGGCUGUACGGAGUAGAUAGCCUAACUAAUUUUUACACCAUAAUUAUUCUAGUCUUGAAUUGUGACGCUCAUGGUGGCAACAUGUUGAAGGAGCGCUCUCAUGCACUGCAUGUUUAGACAAUUAUUCUGUCUGCAUAUGCUGCUGGAUUUUUGCUCUAGCGUAUAUUUUUUCCAGACAAUUGUUAUGACGAGUAACAGGGACAAAGAGGUAUUCUUCUUACAACUGGAAGCAGCUGAGAAGGAUCGUACAAGCUGAAAUAACACCUGCCCUACGAGGCUCCAUGUAUGGAGAGCAGGAUCAACAGAGAGAGAGAGAAGGAGGAAGUUCGAAUCUCUGAGGGGUUUUCACCAUUCGGCAGACAUGGACCUAAAGAGGAGUGGCAAAAAGCAAAUGAGGUAGAUUAGCAGUGCUUGUCAACAACAGAUGGUGCCAUGUAGGAAAUUUUAAUAUCAUAUCUGCUGCCUGGAAAUAAGAGAUUUUAGUGUGUCACACAGCAUUCCGAUCAGAGCCUUCUUCAGGCUCACUGCGAUGCCGACUGCUACUGGAGAUCCUUCCCACCCACAACAACAAAGGCUUGAAGACACAUGGACGAUACGACUUAUGACACCUGGUUUCCUUUUAGGAUAAAUAAGCGUUUUUGAAUUGAAUUGCAUAAGGAAGAGAACGACACAGUCAUCUGAAAACCACAACUAAAUUUAGCGGGUGUUAGAUUUUUGUCUAUGUCUGAGACAAAAUAACAGUGAAAGGUAUGUCAUUUUUUCAACAAUAAUUAAAAUGUUACAUAAAUAUUGUUUAAAUCUUCAAAACUGUGGUAUUUUUACCGAAGGUCCCCUUAAAAAAAAAAACUCCUGCCUGCCUGUGUAGACACACAAGGAAAGACACAGAUCAGAAAAGAUAGAUUCGUUUAAUUUGUACACAUCUACAAGUGCAGGACAUUGGUGGAAUAAAUGUCAUGUUCCCUCAACCUGCCUCCACUGCUUCAUCAAAAUAGUAGAAAAUAUAUGUUUUAAAA
This is a long non-coding RNA of Xiphophorus hellerii (green swordtail), 3032 nucleotides long. RefSeq lists it as uncharacterized. The record is from RefSeq and is a predicted model, not a curated record. The transcript is spliced from 4 exons. NCBI's taxonomy places the organism in Eukaryota, Metazoa, Chordata, Actinopteri, Cyprinodontiformes, Poeciliidae.